CACACAGACACAUACACUGAUCAACAUACUGACACACAUACACUGACAGAAAUACUGACACCCACACACCGACAGAUAUACUGACACCCACAUACACUGAGAAAUACUGACACACACACACAGGCACAUACACUGACACACACAGACUGAUAUACUGACACACACACACACAGACAUACUGGCACACAGACAGAUAUACUGACACAUGCAUACACAUGCACUAACAGACAUACUGACGCACUGACAGACAUACUGACA
Non-coding RNA from Pelobates cultripes (western spadefoot toad), 258 nucleotides. NCBI's taxonomy places the organism in Eukaryota, Metazoa, Chordata, Amphibia, Anura, Pelobatidae. The record is from the annotation of a GenBank genome assembly.